Molecule: transfer RNA, 73 nt
Filed under: Acidobacteria bacterium 13_1_20CM_2_55_15
Lineage: Bacteria; Pseudomonadati; Acidobacteriota
Also listed under: 4 other names
Description: tRNA-Ala
Rfam family: tRNA
About the family: Transfer RNA (tRNA) molecules are approximately 80 nucleotides in length.
Source: RNAcentral
GGGCCUGUGGCGCAGUUGGGAGCGCGCAUGACUGGCAGUCAUGAGGUCAGGGGUUCGAACCCCCUCAGGUCCA